AACGUAGGUUCCGAGCGUUAUCCGGAUUUACUGGGCGUAAAGCGCGUUCAGGCGGUUUGGCAAGUCGGGCAUGAAAUCUCUCGGCUCAACCGGGAGAGGUUGUCCGAUACUGCUGGACUUGAGGGCAGUAGAGGGUGGUGGAAUUCCCGGUGUAGAGGUGAAAUUCGUAGAUAUCGGGAGGAACACCAGCGGCGAAGGCGGCCUUCUGGACGGUGACUGACACUGAGACGCGAAAGCGUGGGGAGCAAACAGG
Molecule: ribosomal RNA, 253 nt
Filed under: uncultured bacterium
Lineage: Bacteria
Description: partial 16S ribosomal RNA
Rfam family: Bacterial small subunit ribosomal RNA
Source: RNAcentral